This 101-nucleotide small RNA is filed under the name Epilithonimonas hominis. Its description in RNAcentral is "Chryseobacterium hominis Flavo-1 RNA". The record is from RNAcentral. Lineage: Bacteria; Pseudomonadati; Bacteroidota; Flavobacteriia; Flavobacteriales; Weeksellaceae.
CUGCAGCCGGACUUGAGCGGAAAUCCUUUUUUGCUGGUUCUUAAUUUCUAUUUGUGUGAAAAUUACUGCAAAAAAGAUUGGGAGCGGAAGGCGGAUAUAGC